CCAAUAGCGUAUAUUAAAGUUGUUGCAGUUAAAAAGCUCGUAGUUGAAUUUCGGGAUCAAUAUUUCGGUCAUGCCGUUGGUAUGCACUGUUAUCAUUGAUUUCUCACCUUCUAAAGAACCGUAAUGCCAUUAAUUUGUUGUUACGUGGAAUUAGGACUGUUACCUUGAAAAAAUUAGAGUGUUUAAAGCAGGCUCACUCUUUACUCCAUUAGCAUGGAAUAAUGAAAUAGGACAUACGGUUCUAUUUUGUUUGUUUCUAGGAUCAGUGUAAUGAUUAAUAGGGAUAGUUGGGGGCAUUAGUAUUCAAUUGUCAGAGGUGAAAUUCUUGGAUUUAUUGAAGACUAACUACUGCGAAAGCAUUUGCCAAGGAUGUUUUCAUUAAUCAAGAACGAAAGUUAGGGGAUCGAAGACGAUCAGAUACCGUCGUAGUCUUAACCAUAAACUAUGCCGACUAGGGAUCGGAUGAUGUUAAUUUUUUAAUGACUCAUUCGGCGCCUUACG
Molecule: ribosomal RNA, 501 nt
Filed under: uncultured Glomeromycotina
Lineage: Eukaryota; Fungi; Glomeromycota
Description: partial small subunit ribosomal RNA
Rfam family: Eukaryotic small subunit ribosomal RNA
Source: RNAcentral